UACGAAGGGGGCUAGCGUUGCUCGGAAUCACUGGGCGUAAAGCGCACGUAGGCGGAUUGCUAAGUCAGGGGUGAAAUCCUGGAGCUCAACUCCAGAACUGCCUUUGAUACUGGCGAUCUUGAGUCCGGGAGAGGUGAGUGGAACUGGCGAGUGUAGAGGUGAAAUUCGUAGAUAUUCGCAAGAACACCAGUGGCGAAGGCGGCUCACCGGCCCGGUACUGGCGCUGAGUGCGGUAAGCGGUGGGAAGCAACAAGGGUACA
This 260-nucleotide ribosomal RNA is filed under the name uncultured bacterium. RNAcentral describes it as "partial 16S ribosomal RNA". It matches the Rfam family "Bacterial small subunit ribosomal RNA", at positions 524 to 782 of the family's 1533-position model. The record is from RNAcentral.